Cyprinus carpio (common carp) is the source of this 856-nucleotide long non-coding RNA. RefSeq lists it as uncharacterized. The record is from RefSeq and is a predicted model, not a curated record. The transcript has 2 exons. NCBI's taxonomy places the organism in Eukaryota, Metazoa, Chordata, Actinopteri, Cypriniformes, Cyprinidae.
UGAGUGAAACUUUUUUUGAAGGCAGAGGGAGAUAGCCACCACUCCAACCUUUCCGGCGGAAAGGAAAGCACCGACCCGGCUGCACAUCUUUGUGGGUCUUCUCCACGGGAUGAUUCUUUGUCCCAGUUCAAGCCUAUAACACCAAAACACCAGAAUUAUGAGAUAAUAUUACAAAAUGUCAUGAGACUAUUUUUGUAGGACAGCGGGCCGUUUGCUCCGAUGCCUGAAGAAACUACAUCCGUGAACAUCAUUAACAUAUGCGGCUGCGUAACGCUGUGGAAGCCUGAUUUUGGGCGGAGCUCAGGCUCGCCGACUACGACAGCGCAGAAUGCAACCUGCUGGCAGCAGAUGUUACAACUUGUUUGGCAGUUCCUGCUGGAGCGCAUUAUACGCAGAUUCAUUUGAGGAACAACGACUUCGCUACCAGACUUCGACCGACAAUGCUACAGCUCCGAUAUUGAAGAAACACCGAGCCAACGACACUCUGCGGACUCGAGACACUUCGGACAUGCUGAUGGCGCAUAUUUCAACCGCUUACCGAUCGACUAUUCUCCAAACACUGAGAUGCCUUUCCCAGUUCUCCAGAUGGACUUUUUCUGAGGAUCACCCAACACACAUUUUUCGGAACAAAGCAAUUAUUUUAUGGCAAUGCUGUAAUGUAAUUGUAAUUUUAACCUCUGGACAUGUAAUCUUCAAUCUCUUUCUACAUUUUUAACAUCUAUUUCUAUUUACUCUGUGUGCUGUUUUCCACUCUUUAUGUCAUUUUCUGUAUCUUUAUGUGGAUUUGGGCAGAAAUACUGUAUGACCUCAUUGUAAAGGCUUAACAACUUUGUUGAAUAAAACAAAUCAAAUCUUA